This is a non-coding RNA of Cajanus cajan (pigeon pea), 264 nucleotides long. The record is from RefSeq and is a predicted model, not a curated record. NCBI's taxonomy places the organism in Eukaryota, Viridiplantae, Streptophyta, Magnoliopsida, Fabales, Fabaceae.
GCUGUCAGAAAGCAAGUAUCGAAGCUUCGGGAACAGGUCGCUCGCUAGCAACAGCAAUUGGUGCCUAUGAUGCAUAUGGCUCCGGUGGCAGCACAAGUCCAAAUCCCCUAGAUUUUGAAGCUAAUGUCAGGGCAAGAUUUUAUCCCAGGGUUUCAACUGCUUUCUUCAUGAAGAAAUUAGUUGGGAAUCAACUUUGCAAAUAACAAGCUGCUGUAGCUGAUUGUUAAGGAAAAAACAUCAUGUUCUAAUAUAUUUACAGCAUAU